CUGCUGCCGAGAGUUGUUCACUGU
Molecule: microRNA, 24 nt
Filed under: Equus caballus (horse)
Lineage: Eukaryota; Metazoa; Chordata; Mammalia; Perissodactyla; Equidae
Description: eca-miR-9021
Source: miRBase by way of RNAcentral